Molecule: ribosomal RNA, 427 nt
Filed under: uncultured bacterium
Lineage: Bacteria
Description: bacterial SSU rRNA
Rfam family: Bacterial small subunit ribosomal RNA
Source: RNAcentral
UGGGGAAUUUUGGACAAUGGGGGCAACCCUGAUCCAGUCAUCCCGCGUGUGCGAUGAAGGCCUUCGGGUUGUAAAGCACUUUUGGCAGGGAAGAAACGGCGCUCUUUAAUACGGGGCGCAACUGACGGUACCUGCAGAAUAAGCACCGGCUAACUACGUGCCAGCAGCCGCGGUAAUACGUAGGGUGCAAGCGUUAAUCGGAAUUACUGGGCGUAAAGCGUGCGCAGGCGGUUCGGAAAGAAAGAUGUGAAAUCCCAGGGCUCAACCUUGGAACUGCAUUUUUAACUCCCGAGCUAGAGUAUGUCAGAGGGGGGUAGAAUUCCACGUGUAGCAGUGAAAUGCGUAGAGAUGUGGAGGAAUACCGAUGGCGAAGGCAGCCCCCUGGGAUAAUACUGACGCUCAUGCACGAAAGCUUGGGGAGCAAACA